UGGCUCAGACGGUAAAGCGUCUGCCUGCAAUGCAGGAGACCGGGGUUCGAUCCCUG
This 56-nucleotide transfer RNA is filed under the name Ovis aries (sheep). It matches the Rfam family "tRNA", at positions 8 to 63 of the family's 71-position model. Rfam says of the family: Transfer RNA (tRNA) molecules are approximately 80 nucleotides in length. Their secondary structure includes four short double-helical elements and three loops (D, anti-codon, and T loops). Further hydrogen bonds mediate the characteristic L-shaped molecular structure. tRNAs have two regions of fundamental functional importance: the anti-codon, which is responsible for specific mRNA codon recognition, and the 3' end, to which the tRNAs corresponding amino acid is attached (by aminoacyl-tRNA synthetases). tRNAs cope with the degeneracy of the genetic code in two manners: having more than one tRNA (with a specific anti-codon) for a particular amino acid; and 'wobble' base-pairing, i.e. permitting non-standard base-pairing at the 3rd anti-codon position. The record is from Rfam by way of RNAcentral. Lineage: Eukaryota; Metazoa; Chordata; Mammalia; Artiodactyla; Bovidae.